CCUACGGGAGGCAGCAGUGGGGAAUAUUGCGCAAUGGGCGAAAGCCUGACGCAGCGACGCCGCGUGAGGGAUGAAGGCCUUCGGGUUGUAAACCUCUUUCAGCAGGGACGAAGCGAAAGUGACGGUACCUGCAGAAGAAGCACCGGCCAACUACGUGCCAGCAGCCGCGGUAAUACGUAGGGUGCAAGCGUUGUCCGGAAUUAUUGGGCGUAAAGAGCUCGUAGGCGGCUUGUCGCGUCGGCUGUGAAAACUCAGGGCUCAACCCUGAGCCUGCAGUCGAUACGGGCAGGCUAGAGUCCGGCAGGGGAGACUGGAAUUCCUGGUGUAGCGGUGAAAUGCGCAGAUAUCAGGAGGAACACCGGUGGCGAAGGCGGGUCUCUGGGCCGGAACUGACGCUGAGGAGCGAAAGCGUGGGGAGCGAACAGGAUUAGAUACCCUGGUAGUCCACGCCGUAAACGUUGGGCGCUAGGUGUGGGGAACCUUCCACGUUCUCCGUGCCGCNGCUACGACAUAGCGCCCGCCGNGGAGACGCGCGAGACUAACUAAUAGAUGACGCGUGAGACGUGCGAGCGACGACGAGGGAGAG
RNAcentral lists this ribosomal RNA (586 nucleotides) under uncultured bacterium. Its description in RNAcentral is "bacterial SSU rRNA". The stretch from base 1 to 522 matches the Rfam family "Bacterial small subunit ribosomal RNA", at positions 338 to 873 of the family's 1533-position model. The record is from RNAcentral.